GCACCUUCCCUAGGAGCUGUAAGUAGGUGGGGGUGGCGGGGCCUCUGCAAUCCCAGCAUUCCCUUCGUGCCGCCACCAAGAUGGCGGCGCCCAUCUUGCGGUCCUUUUCCUGGGGCCGUUGGUCUGGUACCCUAAAUCUCUCCGUAUUCUUGCCCUUGGGGCUGCGUAAGGCCCACUCGGGCGCUCAGGGGUUACUGGCAGCGCAGAAGGCUCGAGGUCUGUUCAAGGACUUCUUCCCGGAGACGGGGACGAAAAUAGAGCUCCCAGAGCUCUUCGACCGUGGCACGGCGAGUUUUCCCCAAACCAUUUACUGUGGCUUCGACCCCACGGCAGACUCGCUUCAUGUGGGUCAUCUACUUGCGCUGCUGGGCCUGUUUCAUUUGCAGCGAGCGGGCCACAACGUGAUCGCGCUGGUGGGAGGCGCCACGGCGCGCCUGGGAGACCCGAGCGGCCGGACCAAGGAACGCGAGGCUCUGGAGACAGACCGCGUGCGAGCCAACGCGCGCGCCCUGCGCCUAGGGCUGGAGGCCCUGGCGGCCAAUCACCAGCAGCUUUUCACUGAUGGGCGCUCCUGGGGCAGCUUCACUGUGCUGGACAACUCGGCCUGGUACGAGAAGCGGCACCUGGUGGACUUCCUGGCGGCAGUGGGGGGUCACUUCCGCAUGGGAACGCUGCUGAGCCGGCAGAGCGUGCAGCUGCGGCUCAAGAGCCCCGAGGGCAUGAGCUUGGCCGAGUUCUUUUACCAGGUGCUCCAAGCCUAUGACUUCUAUUACCUCUUCCAGCGUUAUGGAUGCAGGGUCCAGCUGGGCGGAUCUGAUCAACUAGGCAACAUCAUGUCCGGAUAUGAGUUCAUCAACAAGUUGACUGGAGAAGAUGUAUUUGGAAUCACCGUUCCUCUAAUCACAAGUACAACUGGAGCAAAGCUGGGAAAGUCUGCUGGCAACGCUGUUUGGCUAAACAGAGAUAAGACAUCUCCAUUUGAAUUGUAUCAAUUCUUUGUCAGGCAACCAGAUGAUUCAGUGGAAAGGUACCUGAAGCUGUUCACUUUCCUGCCCCUUCCAGAGAUUGAUCAUAUCAUGCAGCUGCAUGUCAAAGAGCCAGAAAGGCGGGGUCCUCAGAAACGACUGGCAGCAGAAGUAACAAAGCUUGUUCAUGGACGAGAAGGAUUGGAUUCUGCUAAAAGGUGUACAAAAGCCCUUUAUCACAGUAGCAUAGAUGCACUGGAGGUCAUGUCUGAUCAGGAGUUGAAAGAGUUGUUUAAAGAAGCUCCAUUUUCUGAAUUUUUUCUCGAUCCUGGAACAAGUGUCCUAGAUACCUGCCGCAAAGCAAAUGCCAUUCCAGAUGGUCCCCGAGGGUAUCGAAUGAUAACAGAAGGCGGAGUCAGCAUAAAUCACCAACAAGUAACAAAUCCUGAGAGUGUUUUAAUUGUUGGACAACAUAUUCUCAAGAAUGGACUUUCCUUACUUAAAAUAGGAAAAAGAAAUUUCUACAUUAUAAAAUGGCUUCAGUUAUGAGGAAAAGUCGUCCUGGUUGUCCACAUAAACUUACCCAUCAUUCAUUCUCAAGACCUCUGAAGGGUUGGCUCCAGAACUUAAGACCUUUGCUUAUGCAAAUCAGAAAAACAGAAUGGACUAGGACCCAGUAGAUGGGGUCUCCUUUUUUAGUGCCAUGUGCUCGCGGCGCCGCCUCUUGCUCCUCCCACCACCGCUGCUGCCCUGAGUCACUGCCUGCACAGCUCCAGCCGCCUGGUUUCCCAUACUAGCCACUGAUAUUUGGAGUUCUUACAACAUGGCAGACACUGACAACCUGCCUAGCUAAGGCAGUUAAAAGAGGAGUGAAUGCUCUCAAAAACCUGCAAGUGAAAGGUGCACAGAUAGAAGCCAAAUUCUAUGAGGAAGUUCACGAUCUUGAAAGGAAGUAUGCUGUUCUCUAUCAGCCUCUAUUUGAUAAGCAAUUCGAGAUUAUUAAUACAAUUUAUGAACCUACGGAGGAAGAAUGUGAAUGGAAACCAGAUGAAGAAGAUAAGAUUUCAGAGGAGUUGAAA
RNA transcript from Nomascus leucogenys (northern white-cheeked gibbon), 2044 nucleotides. It is a transcript of the gene named tyrosyl-tRNA synthetase 2, with no coding region annotated. The transcript has 6 exons. Lineage: Eukaryota; Metazoa; Chordata; Mammalia; Primates; Hylobatidae. The record is from RefSeq and is a predicted model, not a curated record.